AACUAACAAGGAUUCCCCUAGUAACUGCGAGUGAAGCGGGAAAAGCUCAAAUUUAAAAUCUGGUGGUCUUUUGAUCAUCCGAGUUGUAAUCUAGAGAAGUGUUAUCCGCGCUGGACCGUGUACAAGUCUCCUGGAAUGGAGCGUCAUAGAGGGUGAGAAUCCCGUCUUUGACACGGACUGCCAGGGCUUUGUGAUGCGCUCUCAAAGAGUCGAGUUGUUUGGGAAUGCAGCUCAAAAUGGGUGGUAAAUUCCAUCUAAAGCUAAAUAUUGGCGAGAGACCGAUAGCGAACAAGUACCGUGAGGGAAAGAAGAAAAGAACUUUGGAAAGAGAGUUAAACAGUACGUGAAAUUGCUGAAAGGGAAACGCUUGAAGUCAGUCGCGUUGGCCAGGGAUCAACCUUGCUUUUUUUGCUUGGCUUACUUCCUGGUUGACGGGUCAACAUCAAUUUUGAUCGGUGGAAUAAAGGCUAGGAAAUGUGGCAUCUUCGGAGGUGUUAUAGUCCUUGGUCGCAUACAUCGGUUGGGAUUGAGGAACUCAGCACGCCGCAAGGCCGGGUUUUUAACCACGUACGUGGUUAGGAUGUUGGCAUAAUGGCUUUAAUCGACCCGUCUUGAAACACGGACCAAGGAGUCUAACAUGCCUGCGAGUGUUUGGGUGGAAAACCCGAGCGCGUAAUGAAAGUGAAAGUUGAGAUCCCUGUCGUGGGGAGCAUCGACGCCCGGACUUGACGUUUUCUGACGGUCCCGCGGUAGAGCAUGUAUGUUGGGACCCGAAAGAUGGUGAACUAUGCCUGAAUAGGGUGAAGCCAGAGGAAACUCUGGUGGAGGCUCGUAGCGAUUCUGACGUGCAAAUCGAUCGUCAAAUUUGGGUAUAGGGGCGAAAGACUAAUCGAACCAUCUAGUAGCUGGUC
RNAcentral lists this ribosomal RNA (911 nucleotides) under Laccaria sp. RNAcentral describes it as "eukaryotic LSU rRNA". It matches the Rfam family "Eukaryotic large subunit ribosomal RNA", at positions 63 to 956 of the family's 3401-position model. Lineage: Eukaryota; Fungi; Basidiomycota; Agaricomycetes; Agaricales; Hydnangiaceae. The record is from RNAcentral.